RNAcentral lists this ribosomal RNA (568 nucleotides) under uncultured bacterium. RNAcentral's name for it is "bacterial SSU rRNA". It matches the Rfam family "Bacterial small subunit ribosomal RNA", at positions 119 to 674 of the family's 1533-position model. The record is from RNAcentral.
AGGCAACCUGCCCUCAAGUUUGGGACAGCUACCGGAAACGGUAGCUAAUACCGAAUAGUUGUUUUCUUCGCCUGAAGAGAACUGGAAAGACGGAGCAAUCUGUCACUUGGGGAUGGGCCUGCGGCGCAUUAGCUAGUUGGUGAGGUAACGGCUCACCAAGGCGACGAUGCGUAGCCGACCUGAGAGGGUGAUCGGCCACACUGGGACUGAGACACGGCCCAGACUCCUACGGGAGGCAGCAGUAGGGAAUCUUCCGCAAUGGGCGAAAGCCUGACGGAGCAAUGCCGCGUGAGUGAUGAAGGUUUUCGGAUCGUAAAGCUCUGUUGCCAGGGAAGAACGCUUGGGAGAGUAACUGCUCUCAAGGUGACGGUACCUGAGAAGAAAGCCCCGGCUAACUACGUGCCAGCAGCCGCGGUAAUACGUAGGGGGCAAGCGUUGUCCGGAAUUAUUGGGCGUAAAGCGCGCGCAAGCGGUCAUUUAAGUCUGGUGUUUAAUCCCGGGGCUCAACCCCGGAUCGCACUGGAAACUGGGUGACUUGAGUGCAGAAGAGGAGAGUGGAAUUCCACGU